GGAUGUGAGGGCGAUCUGGCUGCAACAUCUGUCACCCCACUGAUUGCCAGGGUUGAUUCGGCUGAGCUGGCUAGCUAGGCAAGUGCCCCCUUCCUCCCUCGCUGCUCCAUGUGUGUCCCUCCCAAAGCUGUGUGCUUGGUAGAAGAGGACAAGAGGACGACUUUCCCCAAUAGAGGAGGACUUUCUUUGGUCAAGGGUAAACAAGCAGCUGCACUCCCCUGCUGGAACUUCCAAACAAAUGCUCAAGGUCCAUUUGUAGGAGAACGUAGGGUAGUCAAGCUUCCAAGACUCCCGACACAUCCAAAUGAGGUGCUGCAUGUGGCAGUCUACCUUUCUUU
Panthera pardus (leopard) is the source of this 338-nucleotide unclassified non-coding RNA. Its record names the gene 7SK. It matches the Rfam family "7SK RNA". Rfam says of the family: 7SK was discovered as an abundant small nuclear RNA in the mid-70s but a possible function has only recently been suggested. Two independent studies have found that 7SK RNA binds the CDK9/cyclin T complex (known as elongation factor P-TEFb). P-TEFb activates transcription by phosphorylating the C-terminal domain of RNA polymerase II. The record is from Ensembl. Lineage: Eukaryota; Metazoa; Chordata; Mammalia; Carnivora; Felidae.